Molecule: long non-coding RNA, 1317 nt
Organism: Lotus japonicus
Lineage: Eukaryota; Viridiplantae; Streptophyta; Magnoliopsida; Fabales; Fabaceae
Exons: 3
Source: RefSeq, a predicted model, not a curated record
GGAUAAAAGGAUUGCAGAGCUGGAGAAUGAAAAGUUGACUGGUCGUGAUCUUUGUAAUCUUUGGCUUUGAUGCGUUGAAUAUCCUUUAAAGCUUAAGAUUUCUGAUUUUUGUGCUGAAAACAGGGAUUGUAUCUCUUGGAUUGCUAGUAAGCAACAAGAACUUAAAUUCAAGUUAGUUUUUGAUUUCCAAUUCGAAAUGAAAUCUAUUGGAGGCUCAUGUUAGUGGAUUUUACCACAUAGUGUUUCCUUGAAACUUAGCUAAUGCAUAAUCCUUCCUCAUGGCUUGUCCCUUAUUUGAUCUACUUUAAGUUGUGGAAUAGACAAGUAUUUCUCAAAUAUCUAUACAGUUUCUCUAUUAAACGUUUUCAUGAUUUCAUCUCUUCAAAUGUGACAAUUCUUGUCUGCCCCUGUUAUAAUCUUUAAAGUUUCUACCUUUCUUUGGGAAUAUAAGGCUUAUUAAACACCAAACUGUUUCAGUUAAGGCAUAUGAAGAUUUCUAUACUAAUAAGUUUUUGGAACCAAUCUGUUUUUGGGUUAGUCUAAAGACUUCCCUAGUUUAUUCCUUGACUUUAUUAUGCUUGCACACAUAAAGUAUAUGUGCCAGAUAAAUUUAGCCUUCAAAUGUCUUCGAUGUUAGGCCUUAUGUUAUUUUGGCAGCUUAUAGUUCUGACUAGUGAUGCAUAUGACAACAUGUGGGACUGUGGAUAUUAAUGAAAUUCAUCUGGAGCCGAUAUUAUAGAGUCUUGUUUGUCCUCUACGACAAUCAAAUUGGGAGUGUGGAUAUUAAUGAAAAGGCAUUGAGAAUAAACUUUGGGGCGGUUUUCUUGAAAUUUUCUUAUCUGUAUAAUACUUUCUUUGCGCCAACCCCCCGCUUCUGAUUUCUUAUAAUCAUUAGAGCGUUCAUUCUGGGGCCUCUUUGUGUGUGCAUUCGCUCUUUCAAGAGACACAGCCUUACUUAUUCUGUGAAUUCUUCAGGUUGAAGCUCUAGUAGUGCAGUUGACUCAAAGGGACGGGGAAUUGAUACAAGCUGGCAAAUUUUCUCAAGCAGAUGACAUUCUAAAGAAUGUGGAGUUCGAUGCAUUGAGGAUUGUUUUCCACAAAUUUCAUUCAGUUUGUGCAAUUCAUGCCAACUGUGUCAACUGUACUAUCUCCUGAGAUUGUCGAGAGAGAGGCUGAAUCUGGAGGAAUGCUAGGGGAAUUGGAUUCCUAUGAGAUUGAAGGCGGUGAUUCAAAAUCAGAAAUUCUUCAGAAUCUGGCUGAGUACUUUUUUUCAAAACUUUAUGACACUUGUUUUUGAAGGCGGUGAUUCAAAAUCAG